This 71-nucleotide transfer RNA is filed under the name Camelus bactrianus (Bactrian camel). It matches the Rfam family "tRNA". Rfam says of the family: Transfer RNA (tRNA) molecules are approximately 80 nucleotides in length. Their secondary structure includes four short double-helical elements and three loops (D, anti-codon, and T loops). Lineage: Eukaryota; Metazoa; Chordata; Mammalia; Artiodactyla; Camelidae. RNAcentral also lists the same sequence under 2 other names. The record is from Rfam by way of RNAcentral.
GAGGUUAUACCUCAGUGGUAGAGCAUAUGUUUAGCAUGCAUGAGGUCCUGAGUUCAAUCCCCAGAAUCUCC